Molecule: long non-coding RNA, 4263 nt
Organism: Crotalus tigris (Tiger rattlesnake)
Lineage: Eukaryota; Metazoa; Chordata; Lepidosauria; Squamata; Viperidae
Exons: 2
Source: RefSeq, a predicted model, not a curated record
UACACUACUACUACUACUACUACUACUACUACUACUACUACUACUACUACUGCCAAGAUCCCUUCCAACUUAAUAAUAAUAAUAUAAUAAUAAUAAUAAUUUGAGGCUUGUAUGUGGGCAAACAACAUAUUUACCUAUAUCUUUUUUUUUCCUAGCCUGGCUUGGAGGGGAUGAAGGCUCACUAAACAUGCCUAGGGGAUAUUUUGCCAGGACUAGGCCAAGACACAACCUCUGGGCUUUGCAGCUGGUCUUCUGUGCCCACUGGACUCUGACUGCAAGCGAGGGAAGGAUUUGUGCUUCCAGAGAUGGUGGCCUUGUACACCAACACAAAAGGUUGUGGGGAGGUGGACGACUCUUUCUGCUUCUGGGGCAGGGGCCCCUUGAAAAGAGGGGACAGUGAUGAACAACAGGCCUCAGUGCAGGCCUGUUGCAGGCCUCAGUGAAGUGGGCUCCCCAUUCAUUCUGUGGAUGAGGCUGCUUUGUUUUCAUCCCAUUCGUGCAGGGAGCUGUUUCCUUGAGAGAAAGGAACUGUGGGUGCUGCCCAGCAUCCAAUUCCUGCAGGAUUUGCAAGAGAAGGGGGAGCGACAGGCUUGCUCUCACUUCUGCAGGCAGCCAUAAGCCAUGACUUGUGGGCAAUACCGUCCUCAGGCAGAGCAUUGCAGACAAUCAUCUCACGUGUUGUAACAUAUUUGGGGAAAAAAAAAAAUCAUUUCUGGGGUGCCAGGUCUUGCAUGUUUACCCCCAAAUCAUAGAGGUGAGAAAACUGAGAUUCCAAGUCUGAAGAAGGCUGCCUGUCGAACCCUGGCUGUUUGCAUUUUUGUCUUUAGAAUACCCUUCCUCAAAAUGAUCCUUGCUAGAAAAUGGAUUCCAUAUUUUAGAGAAGGUUCCAUACACCUUCAAACGGAGACACCUGGAACACGGGAUUCUCGCUUAAAUCCCUUGCAAACGAAACUCUCCUAUUCGAUAGUUCUUUUCGUGUACAAAAUUGAAUUAAUUGAAAAUAAAUAUACGAUUAAUCCCCAACGUAGAAAUUGUCCUGUUUUAAAUAUGCAUGGAAUUUUGGAACACCUCAUAAAUUUGCCUUCGGCUGGUGGGCACGUAGUAUAUAACAUAAGAUCUGACAAUUUCCAUUGUGACAAUAUAAACACUGUACUUGGCUUUAAUUAAAGAUGCCGAUAGGACUUCAUGGUCGUUUGUAUUUGCAAAACAGGCUGUCACAACUUCCUUACGCGCUGUUUCUGAAAUGCACAUAAUUCAAAGCCAUGGUGUCUUCCCUAUUUUUUUCUCUUUAAGUAUUAUUGCCUUCUUGUCGUUUAGUUGCUUCUAAUGCUUCAUGAUCCAACAAACAUCCUUUCGCCGAUUGAAAGGUUCUCCUUGGGCCAUUAUCUGUGAUGGCACCUGGCCAAAGGGUCUUCUGUCCACCUUUUUUCAUUGUCUUCAAUUGCAUCAGAGAAUCAGGGACUCCCACCUUUGCAUUAUGUGACUAAAAUAUCUCCGUUUUAGCCACAUUCUUAGUGCUUCUACUGAGCAGCCCAAUGUGACUUCAUCUGGUGUUGAGUGAUUGAUUGGUUCUUCAGGCUGUCCAAGCUUCUGUCAACAAUUUUCUCCAGGACCAAAAUUCAAAAGUAUUCAUCUUUUUUUUUUGCUUAGCCUUUCUGAUGGUCCAACUUUCAUAGCUGUAUGUCACAACUGAGCAGGCCAUGGGCUUGACAAUACAUACCCUGGUUGUCCAUGUGAUGUCUCAACAGUUUAACAUUCUGGGUAGAUUUCUGCUAGUCUCUCUUCCAAGUAGCAAAUGUCUCUUGGUUGCAUGGCUCUAGCUGCCAUUCCUCUGCAAACUUUAUCUUAGGAGGGCAAAUAAAAGUCUGCUACUAUUCAACUUCUUCUCUCCCUGUUUGCUUUGGGUUGGCAUUUUCUGCUAACGUAAUCUUUUGAAUUUUGAUUUUUUUAAAAAACGUUGAACAGCGGUUGAAUGGGAUUUCGCAUUCUCUCCUUUCACUUUCAAUAAAAGAUCCCCAAAUCUUUCUCACUUUCAGCCUUCCUAGUUUUCAUCAGCAGCUUUCAUCUGAACUUCUGCUUUUUCUAACUCAACGCUUCUUGUGGUUUGUUCUGCAUUUAAGUUAAAGUAUUGGUAUGAAAUCUUGUGCGUUCCUUUCCCAACCUUGAACCGUUCAGUUGCCCCAUCAACCUUUCCCGCUCUUCUUCUUGCUGAUAAUAGUUUUUAAAGGAGACCCAAGUUUGCUGUGGGGUGGACAGUCAAAGUCCUUGGUGGAAGCAACAACGUAAAAGUCAACGUCUUUUUGAAGCGCCCUUGUCUUUUCCUUAAUGCCAGCCUUGCGAUUUCAACUACUGAUGCCUCUUCUGUAGUCAGCUGCCAUUUCCGUCAGUUUUAUUUCCAGCUGCUGAGGAAGUCUGAACGGCAAUUGUGCUGGACCGGUUAUGUAAUCAUCUGGCCAGUGCAUAUAUUAGCUAUGAGAACUGUAUGUUAGAAUGUUUAGCAUUUAAAGGGUUAAGCGCUGUCUCCUUAAGAGAUGGCUUAUGGGUAAUGUAGUUUUAGUUGUUCAGUGAAUCCUAUGUUAACAAGUCAGUGGGAGGGGCUACUAAGUUCAUCACAGGAUAUCCUGGCUAUGUGCCAGUUUGGAAGAAAUGCCUUUUGUCUGAAAUGAGCAUGGGGAUGCAUGAGGAGAGACACCGUCUUAAUUCACGCUAGAGCUGAUGUGGAGGAAUGAUUGUUUCGACCUACAUAAAAUGGGCAAAUGUACAGCAUCUGGAAGCAUCUUCAGAAUUUGAAUAAAAGUUAUGUGCCAUUGCAGCAUUGGAAUAGAUGCUUAUUAAAAUCAGAACAACCCUAAAACCGAGUUUCGGGAACAGAAAAAUCUAUUCAAAUUUCCUCCUAAGAGUUAAGUGGAUGGAGCGCUGCUGAAGGCUCUAUAAGGAAUGGAGUUCCUUAAAAGUAUAACAAUUGAGAAGGUGACAAACUGAAAGGAUGACAAAAGAGACCAAGAACGGGAACGUUCCUCUGAUUCUACUGGCUUCAUUUGGGAUUCCUGCCAAUAUUUAAUCUCCGUUGCACUUUUACUGGUUGAGGGGGAAAAACUAUGAUUCCUGUACCCAAAUGCCCACAGGCUCAAUGCAACUUCAAAUGUUGUCACAAUUUGUGCUAAACAGAGCCAGAAAUCCAAGCUAAGAUUUCAGUUCAAGCACGCAAAAUGCCUGCUAUGUUUAGAAUCCUUCCUGAUCGCUUUCCAUUUUCCACUUUCCUUGUUUGGGAAUCCAUUCCAGUCUCUGUGACCCAGAAGCCUUUGGGGACAGGAUGGUGGGAAUCUUUUUGAUUUGAUCAUUCAAAGGGACAUCAAUUUUUAAGCUGGCCAUGAGUCGUAACUCAGGCACCACCCCCAGUGAAAAUCAAGCUUCUUGCCGCGUGCUUUGGAACAGGGGUGUUUGUUAAUCACGGUAUUUUCGUUUCAUAUUUCAAGCACGGCAAUAACCGUAUUAAACUUGCCAUUUUUCUUCAAAACACGACCCACUAAAUUUAAUGGAGAUGACUCCUGAAUAAAUAAAAACAGAUUUAGCCAGACAAGUUGACUAAAACAAAAGGAACAAAUGUCAAUUAAAGGGCGAGCUAAAAAAACUGCUUGUGUGUGUUCAUUAUUUCCUGUAAUAACAAAAGCAUCGCAACAUCCAUUAGCCACAUAGUUAUUAAAACGAAACAAUGCUUUUUUUUUUUUUUACUAGUUCCAGGGUGAUUUGGCUCUCUUGCUUAAAUACAUUUCAAGUUUUAUCUGUUAUUUCAUUUAACGUAAGGGCAGCCAAACUGUUAUGUUUUCUGAACAAAGGCAAAACUAGGGUUUUUUUUUAAUAUAUAUAUAUAUCCAGGUACGCCUGGUGAGCGUGUUUUGAAUCCAGCUGCCUCAAGAACGCUCAGAUUAAUCCGAGGCAAUGAAAACAUUUCCAGGGAUGAAACUUUUAUGUCAACUGGAUCUUGUUACAAAUGCCAUCUCUCUCCCUCGCAUUAGGCAGUUCUUUCUUCUCUUUUUAAGAUCUUAAUCACACUUUGUGACUCCAGUAUUAUACAUGCUAUAAAAGCCACAAUGUCAGUUUUCUCCACAAGCUAAAAAUAAAGUCUCUGUGUCAGAUACUGUUAGUUGAUAAAAAGGAUCAGUGCACUGUGUUCCCACUCCAGUAAUUUUGAACUUUAGAUAACUUCCUGUUUACAUGGCCUGACCUUUUUUUUUUUUUUUUUGCAAAAAGGCUGUUACCAUU